UAAAUGCGAUAAGUACCGUGAACUGAAGACAUUUUGAACGGAAAAGAUUCGAACGCACAUUGCGCCUUAGGAGUCUCAUCCUUUGGCACAUCUGGUUCAGGGUCGUUUAAAUAAACGUUUGCUAGAUACGUGUUUCCUUUGUCGGAUCAUUAUCGUGCUAGAAGGUGAUGUUCUGAUAUCAUGGACCAUAGCGUCUGAUUGUCUAUUUACUGAUGGCACUGUAUUGCAAGCUGAGCCGCCAUGUGAAAGGACUUUUCGCUAUUUCCGACCUGAAGUCAGGUGUGAAUACCUGCUGAACUUAA
Molecule: unclassified non-coding RNA, 302 nt
Filed under: uncultured fungus
Lineage: Eukaryota; Fungi
Description: sequence contains ITS1
Rfam family: 5.8S ribosomal RNA (bases 1-105)
Source: RNAcentral